Molecule: ribosomal RNA, 425 nt
Filed under: uncultured bacterium
Lineage: Bacteria
Description: bacterial SSU rRNA
Rfam family: Bacterial small subunit ribosomal RNA
Source: RNAcentral
GUGGGGGAUAUUGCACAAUGGGGGAAACCCUGAUGCAGCAACGCCGCGUGAGGGAAGAAGGUUUUCGGAUUGUAAACCUCUGUCCUUGGUGAAGAGAAUGACGGUAGCCGAGGAGGAAGCUCCGGCUAACUACGUGCCAGCAGCCGCGGUAAUACGUAGGGAGCGAGCGUUGUCCGGAAUUACUGGGUGUAAAGGGUGCGUAGGCGGGGAAGCAAGUCAGCAGUGAAAUCUAUGGGCUUAACUCAUAACGUGCUGUUGAAACUGUUUUUCUUGAGUGAGUCAGAGGCAGGCGGAAUUCCCGGUGUAGCGGUGAAAUGCAUAGAGAUCGGGAGGAACACCAGUGGCGAAGGCGGCCUGCUGGGGCUUAACUGACGCUGAGGCACGAAAGCGUGGGGAGCAAACAGGAUUAGAAACCCUAGUAGUCC